AUCAGGCAUCCCUAAGUAACUGUUGAUCUUAGACUUUCUAAGGAAUCUGUGAGCAUUUGGAAAGGGAAUGUAAAAUUGUAUGUAUAUACAUUUUUCUGAACAGAAAGCCUUAAACUGUAUUCAGAUUAUUAACGAGUUUGGGAAUCUUCACAUUUUCAGAAAUGGUCUGGAUGGUGGUGUGAGCUCCUUUUAAUGAGCACUACCUAGAAGCAGAGAAGUUUCCAGAUGCCAGCAACAAGAAAUGAGAGCAUUUCAGUGGCCAUGUGUGACCUCAUUACCGCGGCUGGAGAGAUCAUCCGAGGAGAAAACUCUGUCACUGGAUGUAACAACCGCAUCAUCUGUGGACAUAAGAUACACAUUUGCUGCACCAUAAUAACUUCCACUGGGCAUAUAUGUAAUUGGAUCCUAAACAUAGCACUGAAAAAUCAACACCCUAGCAGUCUAUCUUAGGAAUACAUGAAAGAGAAAGGACUGGAAUGCUCCCGAAUGCAAUGUUCAAGGCAAAAGUCGUGCUUCUGAUCCCAGUAGGGUUGUGAUAUGCUCUCUGCAAAGCCCAUUGCUCCCGGUUUUUCAAUUACAACUUUGACUCAUAUUCCUUGAUUAGUAACAAGCAAUCAAUCAUAAUUAAUUAGUUAAAAUGUUCAACCGUUAAAAUCAUUACC
This 662-nucleotide long non-coding RNA is filed under the name Capra hircus (goat). RNAcentral describes it as "lncRNA (ENSCHIG00000001354.1)". The record is from RNAcentral. Lineage: Eukaryota; Metazoa; Chordata; Mammalia; Artiodactyla; Bovidae.